RNAcentral lists this ribosomal RNA (251 nucleotides) under uncultured bacterium. RNAcentral describes it as "partial 16S ribosomal RNA". It matches the Rfam family "Bacterial small subunit ribosomal RNA", at positions 88 to 339 of the family's 1533-position model. The record is from RNAcentral.
UGGAUUAGUGGCGGACGGGUGAGUAACGCGCGAGCAAUCUGCCCUUGUCAGUGGAAUAACACAGAGAAAUUUGUGCUAAUACCGCAUAAUAUUCAGUUGAGGCAUCUCAGUUGAAUCAAAGAAUUAUCGGACAAGGAUGAGCUCACGUCCCAUUAGGUAGUUGGUGAGGUAACGGCCCACCAAGCCGACGAUGGGUAGCCGACCUGAGAGGGUGAUCGGCCACAUUGGAACUGAGAAACGGUCCAGACUCC